CGGAGAGCAUGCCUGUUUCAG
Molecule: ribosomal RNA, 21 nt
Filed under: Trichosporon asahii
Lineage: Eukaryota; Fungi; Basidiomycota; Tremellomycetes; Trichosporonales; Trichosporonaceae
Description: partial 5.8S ribosomal RNA
Source: RNAcentral